AUGAAGUAUUCAUGCCAUGUUUACAAUAAUUUUAUAUGGUUUUGGUAUGAUGUGCAUGGAGCUAACCUGGACUGGCGCUGUUUUCAGCAGAACAACCGUGGUGUUGUUUUUUGUGCAGAAAUGAAAGUUCUCCAAACACCGCGAAACUAUUUGUGGAUUUUUAUGGACCAGAAGAAUACCAAUGGGCCAAGGCUGCACCUGGGGGGUGCCUCAAGGAGGGAAGCACCCACCAGGGCAUGCCAGGAUGCCCAGGCGCACCCUGGUGGGUUGUGCCCACCUUGGUGGCCUCCCAUACCCCUUCUUCGCCGUAUAAAUUCCCAAAUAUUUCGAAAACCCUCGGGGAGACUCUAG
RNAcentral lists this ribosomal RNA (351 nucleotides) under Triticum aestivum (bread wheat). RNAcentral's name for it is "partial small subunit ribosomal RNA". The record is from RNAcentral. Lineage: Eukaryota; Viridiplantae; Streptophyta; Magnoliopsida; Poales; Poaceae.